CGCGUAGGCGGCGACCCAAGUCAGAUGUGAAAGUCCUGGGCUUAACCUGGGGACUGCAUUUGAUGCUGGGUUGCUUGAAUUCGGGAGAGGAUAGCGGAAUUCCCAGUGUAGAGGUGAAAUUCGUAGAUAUUGGGAAGAACACCGGUGGCGAAGGCGGCUAUCUGGACCGACAUUGACGCUGAGGCGCGAAAGCGUGGGAGCAAACA
Molecule: ribosomal RNA, 206 nt
Filed under: uncultured bacterium
Lineage: Bacteria
Description: partial 16S ribosomal RNA
Rfam family: Bacterial small subunit ribosomal RNA
Source: RNAcentral